This is a long non-coding RNA of Limulus polyphemus (Atlantic horseshoe crab), 579 nucleotides long. RefSeq lists it as uncharacterized. The transcript is spliced from 3 exons. The record is from RefSeq and is a predicted model, not a curated record. Lineage: Eukaryota; Metazoa; Arthropoda; Merostomata; Xiphosura; Limulidae.
AAUUAACAUUAUACUCAUCAUAAACCAUCUUGAGAUACUGCAUGGAACUAAACAUUAUGUACGAAAAUAUUGAUUGUGGUGUUCAAACCUAAUAUAAAAUAAGAACUUGUAGUUACAAACUAAGUACCAACACCAGGACUGUUUUGACACAAUUUCACCUGAUUAGUGAAAGAAAGUUAUUUUUAGUUCAAAAAUACCUUCUUACUGUUUUCCAGACAUAUGGACAGACGUUUAUAUCAGACGACACGUUUCUGUCCACCAUCGGUUCUGUAGCUGGAGCUGUUCAUGCCCUUAGCCGAGUGAUUGUGGGCUUAAUUCAUGACAAAUUAUCUUACAAGUUAACGAUGCUCCUCUUGCUGGGAAUAAAGACAGUAUUGCUGUUCACUCUGGUAGCGACACCUUAUGGAGGAAAAGUGACGUACAUUAUAUAGAAUUUGUGGCCUCUUUGCUACAUUUCCUCUUGUUUUUGUCUGUAUUCUGGCCGCUGUUGCUGAAGUUUGUGGAACGAAAUACACUGCUGAAAUUUUUGGAAUGGUAUUCUUUGCAUCAACAACUUGUUUCUUUCUCUGGCCUUUAGUC